ACGGAAGGCAGCAGUGAGGAAUAUUGGUCAAUGGACGGAAGUCUGAACCAGCCAAGUCGCGUGAAGGAUGAAGGUAUUAUGUAUUGUAAACUUCUUUAGCAGUGGAGUAAUAAGGGGAUCGUGAUCCCUGAUGCAAGUACACUGAGAAUAAGGAUCGGCUAACUCCGUGCCAGCGGCCGCGGUAAUACGGAGGAUCCGAGCGUUAUCCGGAUUUAUUGGGUUUAAAGGGUGCGCAGGCGGCUUUUUAAGUCAGUGGUUAAAUCGUGACGCUCAACGUCAUCACGCCAUUGAUACUGGAGAGCUUGAUUGCGGUCGAGGUUUGCGGAAUUCGUUGUGUAGCGGUGAAAUGCAUAGAUAUGACGAAGAACACCGAUUGCGUAGGCAGCAGACCAGGCCGUAAAUGACGCUCAUGCACGAAAGUGCGGGGAUCGAACAGGAUUAGAUACCCUGGUA
RNAcentral lists this ribosomal RNA (453 nucleotides) under uncultured Porphyromonadaceae bacterium. Its description in RNAcentral is "partial 16S ribosomal RNA". It matches the Rfam family "Bacterial small subunit ribosomal RNA", at positions 341 to 792 of the family's 1533-position model. Lineage: Bacteria; Pseudomonadati; Bacteroidota; Bacteroidia; Bacteroidales; Porphyromonadaceae. The record is from RNAcentral.